ACACCUCAUUCCCACACUUAAUUCCUAGUUUCCCACCUCCCCUUCUCACUACUUUCUCUCUCUCUCUAUUCUCAGUAUAUCAUUACUUUGAAGUAAUGAUAAGUUAUUGCAUAUAACACAAACCAUAGCAGUUUUUGAAAAGUUGGAUUUUUGGGACUUGGCAUAAACUAGUUGAGAGGACAAAGGAAUGGUACAGAUGAAAAGCUGUGCCAUUUCAUGCAAAACCCUUAUACUUGAAGUUAAUGGCUUUUGAGAAAUUGCAUCAGUUGAAGUUAGCACAGCACCAAUAAUCAGCCAAUUUUUGGCUGGUUAUUUUAAGAUCAUUACAAAAGCAACCCCGCCUAGAAGAGAAGACAUCAUAAGCGCAGCAGAUUCCCACAUGGACAGAAUGCAUAAAAAGAAUACAGUAUUUAUAGCCACAACACAAUUAUGCAAUUCACAAUUAUGCAAUUAUGCAAACGGAGUUCAAGUUACUCAUAGCUAUACUCAGCUAAAAUCUCGAAAAUUCUAAAGGGGAAAGUAAAAGUUUUUCGGAAACUGAUAGAGAGGUAUUGUUAUAAAACUAGUUUUGUUUAAAGUUGAGGUAUAGUUAUUUUUCCUUAUCUUUGUGCUCAACGUAAUAGAGAUAAAAGAUUUACAUAUAAGCAUGGAUGAGGUAUUUGAAAAAGGUCAAGACAUUAUCCUUCAUCCUGAAAGGAAAAGAAGUAUUGGAUAUAACUAAGAUAGAUGAUGAACUAAGAACCGAGGCAAGUCUUCCAAUUUCUUUGUGAUUCUAUGAAUUGGUUAUUAUAUGAGAUCUUUAAGAAUAUGUUGAAUUACAUGUUACAUGCUAUAAACUGUGAAAGUCAAUAUAUGAUUAAGUUGAUUGAGUUAUGAAACUCAAUACAUAUGUGAUAUAUGAUAUGAACAUAUAUUGUUUAAAGUGAUGAUGCAUGAAUGUUAUAAAGGAUUAUGAGAUAUAUGUUGAACAUGAAACUACGUGUUAUAUGAAGCAUGACAACUGUUAGAUUUGUUGGGCUGUCGAGCUCAGUCUUGCAAAAAUAUAAUUUUUCCAUGUAUGAUAUGCAACACGAUUUCUUGCGAUCCGGAUGGUAAAGAAUAGAAGCCUGUGUGCAGAAAAGCUGUUUCUUUUAAGUAGGAACUAUAUUACAUCUAAAUGACAAUUUUUAGUAUGUGUAAAUGAGAAUUAUAGAAAUAGUGAGUUAUUUCGG
RNAcentral lists this long non-coding RNA (1211 nucleotides) under Panax ginseng (ginseng). RNAcentral's name for it is "long non-coding RNA (PGIN_LNC001324)". The record is from RNAcentral. Lineage: Eukaryota; Viridiplantae; Streptophyta; Magnoliopsida; Apiales; Araliaceae.